RNAcentral lists this transfer RNA (70 nucleotides) under Gastrothylax crumenifer. Its description in RNAcentral is "tRNA-Gly". Lineage: Eukaryota; Metazoa; Platyhelminthes; Trematoda; Plagiorchiida; Gastrothylacidae. The record is from RNAcentral.
ACGUUAGUAGUAUAUUGUAUAGAGUACAUUGUCUUUCCAAGUCAGGGGUCCUAUGUGUUAGGUUAACGUA